ACAAUAUUCACGGAAAGCCGAUCUAAUCAUCGGUUCCAGCUAGCGUCUACACAUUAAAGCCUAUAUCUCAUCUCCUCUUGUAACUCUCUUAGAUGUGUGGUCCCUUUGAUAGCUCCUUUCUACAUCUGAUUAUGCUUGUAUUACUUCCUUUUCAAUCUGUUGACUCAGAGCAUAUACCUCAAUGACUAUCUCUCCCCUGCCCUAAAAUUUUCUGUGUAGACGCUGCCCGACUUGAAGCAUAAUAACUGAUCUCGUCAUCAGAAAUAAACACCCAAAAGAAAUAGAAUUUCUUCAAAAUUGUCAUCUUCUCUGUGAUGCUUUUGAUCUGGGGAAAUCUUCUCCUACUUGACAUGCAGCUGCUCCAGAAUCUUGUACAACUGUAGUAUAUUCUUGCUUGUUGAUAUGCUCAAAUUUACUUUAAAAGCAACUCUGCAAUUUCAAAGGUCGGUUGCAGUACUUAGGGUCGAAUCCACAUAGAUGGAAACAAUAAACUAAUGGUUGAGGCUUUGACCAAGCAUAAAGAAUUGACAACUCAGAAGGCGGGGAUUACCGCUUGCUGGGAACUUAAAUGUGAAUGGCAGGACAAGUGAGUUGAAUACUAGAAGCUUGAGGAAAAGUUUCACCAUUAUAAGUUGGUUAUGGUGGCCGAUGAUGAUUCAGGAGGGGUUCUUCCAUGAUGAUUGUUGAUGGAGCGUCGGCUUCUGGUAAUGGCUUCUCAUACUGAUCACUUGUCCCUAUUUGUCAGCAUAGUUUUUUUUUUGGAUUAUGUUUGAUGGGGCGUCGGCUUCUGGUAAUGGCUUCUCAUACUGAUCACUUGUCCCUAUUUGUCAGCAUAGUUUUUUUUUUGGAUUAUGUCUGGUCCAUGCAAAAAUUUAUUCUCUAUUGUUCUCCUAUUUUUGUAUGCUUUUUACGUAUUCCUUCCGUUUUUCUGCCCCCCUCCCUAAGUGUGCUUCCGGCC
This 958-nucleotide long non-coding RNA is filed under the name Brassica napus (rape). RNAcentral describes it as "long non-coding RNA (BNAP_LNC013419)". The record is from RNAcentral. Lineage: Eukaryota; Viridiplantae; Streptophyta; Magnoliopsida; Brassicales; Brassicaceae.